Molecule: ribosomal RNA, 103 nt
Filed under: Puniceicoccales bacterium
Lineage: Bacteria; Pseudomonadati; Verrucomicrobiota; Opitutia; Puniceicoccales
Description: partial 23S ribosomal RNA
Rfam family: Bacterial large subunit ribosomal RNA
Source: RNAcentral
CCUCCUAAAGAGUCCUGGUAGACUACCAGGUUGAUAGGUCGGAUGUGUAAGUGCAGUAAUGCAUUGAGCUAACCGAUACUAAUGACUCGUGAGGUUUUAUUUU